RNAcentral lists this ribosomal RNA (490 nucleotides) under uncultured bacterium. RNAcentral describes it as "partial 16S ribosomal RNA". It matches the Rfam family "Bacterial small subunit ribosomal RNA", at positions 30 to 507 of the family's 1533-position model. The record is from RNAcentral.
AUUGAACGCUGGCGGCAGGCCUAACACAUGCAAGUCGAACGGUAACAGGGAUCAGCUUGCUGAUUCGCUGACGAGUGGCGGACGGGAGAGUAAUGUCUGUGAAACUGCCUGAUGGAGGGGGCUAACUACUGGAAACGGUAGCUAAUACCGCAUAACGUCGCAAGACCAAAGAGGGGGACCUUCGGGCCUCUUGCAAUCGGAUGUGCCCAGAUGGGAUUAGCUAGUAGGUGGGGUAACGGCUCACCUAGGCGACGAUCUCUAGCUGGUCUGAGAGGAUGACCAGCCACACUGGAACUGAGACACGGUCCAGACUCCUACGGGAGGCAGCAGUGGGGAAUAUUGGACAAUGGGCGCAAGCCUGAUGCAGCCAUGCCGCGUGUAUGAAGAAGGCCUUCGGGUUGUAAAGUACUUUCGGCGGGGAGGAAGGGAGUAAAGUUAAUACCUUGGCUCAUUGACGUUACCCGCAGAAGAAGCACCGGCUAACUCCGUG